RNAcentral lists this ribosomal RNA (253 nucleotides) under uncultured bacterium. RNAcentral's name for it is "partial 16S ribosomal RNA". It matches the Rfam family "Bacterial small subunit ribosomal RNA", at positions 524 to 776 of the family's 1533-position model. The record is from RNAcentral.
UACGUAGGUGGCAAGCGUUGUCCGGAUUUACUGGGCGUAAAGAGCGCGCAGGCGGUUGAUUAAGUCGAAUGUGAAAGCCCCCGGCUCAACUGGGGAGGGUCAUUCGAUACUGAUUGACUUGAAGGCAGGAGAGAGAAGUGGAAUUUCCGGUGUAGCGGUGAAAUGCGUAGAUAUCGUUUGGAACGCCAAUGGUGAAAACAAGUAGCUGGGAGUGUGCCGACGCUGAGACACGAAAGCCAGGGGAGCGAACGGG